UGAAGUGAUUGACCAAUUAUGGAUGAAGAGUUGCUGGAGCUGGCAGAUCAUCUCAAUGAGAUCUCUCAGAAACUCUGACUAUUUGUGAGGCUGUUGUGUAUGUCCACAGAUCAGAGGAGAGACAACCACACCUAUACCCAUAGUGAUCGAUACUUGCUACCAGCCAACCAGUAAUAAUCAUGUUCAUCAACUAAUGGUAGUAGGGCCUCCAUCAAAGCUACGACCCUUAAUUCUUAAUGUUUAUUGUAGAGUGUAUCUUUACCGUCUGUUGGGCUCAGUGUGAUUGUUGCUUAUCCAUUCUGAAGUCUUUACCAAAUCCACCCACCCUAGUACAGACUGUGUUUGUUGACUGAUGCAUAUACCAUUUGUACUUCAUUUUACGUGUAUUCUUUACAGUAGGUUUUUCACCACGGUAGAGAGGUUAAUUGUCCUUGCAGAUUGUAACUAGUCCAACUUUGAAGUCAAUUAACCGUACUGUCUGCAACAACCAAAUUAAGGUUCUAAUGAAUGUGUCCACUAGCUAGCUACCACCACUAAAAUUAAUCUGAUUAGAGCCUUGCUUCACUUGGAAUUAUUUUGCAUAGGAAAUUUGUAGGGUCCUUCGUUAUUGUUCCACUGUAUUUCACUAUCUCUCCCCCCCCCUCAGGUACUAUGUGGCUGAGGAGACCUGGAGGGUGGUCACACAGACCAGGGGAGUGCAGCUGGUCAAGCAGCACAUCCACAAAGACUUAAGUGUCCCAGUCCUCCCGCGCCCCGUAUAUCUUUUUCAAAACUCAAUCGUGUGGUUCACUGGCCCCCGAAAUGAGGAGGGGAGGAUGUAUGGACUCACACUAUCACAAGCCAGGAGAGCUGUGGGAGAAGAAGGGUUGCCAGUGUUUGCCAGUUACUGAGUGAGUGAGCUGUAUCUUCUAUGGACUGAGCAGUGACAAUGCCUGGUGCAUGCAGUCUGUUGGAGUGGACUGUCUCACCUCACUCUGUCAGCUGCUGGGGAGAAUGAUCCUCAGAGGGAGAAUAGAACAACAUAAUCCAAUGUAUCUGGACAGUUUGACAGAACAGUAACUGUAGCUUCCCUCAAUGUUGUGCAUAUUAUUAUACAUUUUUAUUAACAAACAUUAUUAUGUAAUUGCUAUAAUAAUUACAGUAACUGUUUAAAAUAAUGGUUAGCACUGUACAG
Long non-coding RNA from Halichondria panicea, 1174 nucleotides. RefSeq lists it as uncharacterized. NCBI's taxonomy places the organism in Eukaryota, Metazoa, Porifera, Demospongiae, Suberitida, Halichondriidae. The record is from RefSeq and is a predicted model, not a curated record. The transcript is spliced from 6 exons.